CGAGUCCGAGGAGCUACGGCUCUUAAGUGAUACAAGUCAGACUUCCCAGAAAAGCCCGAACCACGUUAAUUUCUAAUUACCUGUACCCGAAACCGACACAGGUGGGUAGGUAGAGUAUACUAAGGGGCGCGAGAUAACUCUCUCUAAGGAACUCGGCAAAAUGACUCCGUAACUUCGGGAGAAGGAGUGCCUUAUUUAUAAGGUUGCAAUAACAAGAUCCAAGCAACUGUUUAUCAAAAACACAGGUCUCCGCUAAGUCGUAAGACGAUGUAUGGGGGCUGACGCCUGCCCAGUGCCAGAGGGUUAAAGAAGUUGGUUAGUGUAUGCGAAGCUGAUGACUGAAGCCCUGGUGAACGGCGGCCGUAACGAUAACGGUCCUAAGGUAGCGAAAUUCCUUGUCGGGUAAGUUCCGACCCGCACGAAAGGCGUAAUGAUUUGGAUACUGUCUCGGAGAGAGGCUCGGUGAAAUAGACUUGUCUGUGAAGAUGCGGACUACCUGCACCAGGACAGAAAGACCCUAUGAAGCUUUACUGUAACUUGAAAUUGGAAUUGGACUUUGCUUGCGCAGUAUAGGUGGGAAGCGUUGAAGAUAUUCUUGCGGGAGUAUUGGAGCUAUCAGUGAGAUACCACUCUUGUAAUGUUAGAUUUCUAACUUUGAACCAUAAUCUGGUCAAAGAACAGUUUCAGGUGGGCAGUUUGACUGGGGCGGUCGCCUCCCAAAUGGUAACGGAGGCGUACAAAGGUUUCCUCUGAACGGAUAGAAAUCGUAUCUAGAGUGUAAAGGCAUAAGGAAGCUUGACUGUGAGACCUACAAGUCGAGCAGGGACGAAAGUCGGUCUUAGUGAUCUGACGGUACUGAGUGGAAAGGCCGUCACUCAACGGAUAAAAGUUACUCUAAGGAUAACAGGCUGAUCUCCCCCAAGAGUUCACAUCGACGGGGAGGUUUGGCACCUCGAUGUCGGCUCAUCGCAUCCUGGGGCGGUAGUACGUCCCAAGGGUUGGGCUGUUCGCCCAUGAAAGCGGUACGCGAGCUGGGUUCAGAACGUCGUGAGACAGUUCGGUCCAUAUCCGGUGUAGGCGUUAGAAUAUUGAGAGGAGCCUUCUUUAGUACGAGAGGACCGAGAAGGACACACCGCUGGUGUACCAGUUAUCGUGCCAACGGUAAACGCUGGGUAGCUAUGUGUGGAGUGGAUAACCGCUGAAAGCAUCUAAGUGGGAAGCCCACCUCAAGAUGAGUAUUCUCA
Molecule: ribosomal RNA, 1244 nt
Filed under: metagenome
Description: bacterial LSU rRNA
Rfam family: Bacterial large subunit ribosomal RNA
Source: RNAcentral